GAUGAACGCUAGCUACAGGCUUAACACAUGCAAGUCGAGGGGCAGCGGGGAGGAUGCUUGCAUUCUCCGCCGGCGACCGGCGCACGGGCGAGUAACGAGUAUCGAACCUGCCUCAUACCCGGGGACAGCCUUGCGAAUGUAAGAUUAAUACCCGGUGUUUUCGCGGUUCCGCAUGGUACUGCGAACAAAGGAUUGCCGGUAUGAGAUGGCGAUGCGUCCCAUUGGCUGGUUGGCGGGGUAACGGCCCACCAAGGCAUCGAUGGGUAGGGGUUCGGGGAGGAAGGUCCCCCACACUGGAACUGGGACACGGUCCAGACUCCUACGGGAGGCAGCAGUGAGGAAUAUUGGUCAAUGGGCGCAAGCCUGAACCAGCCAAGUAGCGUGCAGGAUGACGGCCCUCUGGGUUGUAAACUGCUUUUAGUUGGGAAUAAAGCGCGGGACGUGUCCCGCUUUGCAUGUACCAUCAGAAAAAGGACCGGCUAAUUCCGUGCCAGCAGCCGCCGUAA
This 506-nucleotide ribosomal RNA is filed under the name uncultured bacterium. Its description in RNAcentral is "partial 16S ribosomal RNA". It matches the Rfam family "Bacterial small subunit ribosomal RNA", at positions 28 to 523 of the family's 1533-position model. The record is from RNAcentral.